RNAcentral lists this non-coding RNA (26 nucleotides) under Homo sapiens (human). Lineage: Eukaryota; Metazoa; Chordata; Mammalia; Primates; Hominidae. The record is from RNAcentral.
GGGGAGGUGGCCAUUUCACGGCAGGA